UAAAUGUUUGAAUGGUAGUAUGUAUUUUUUUAUUUUAUUUCAUUUUUAAAAAAUCCCAGGAGUUAAAUUUUUUUGGUCUGAUUUGUUUUCAAUGAAAAUGCCUAUUAUAUGUAAGAAAGAGCUUGCUAUUACUUGUUCUGAUCUCAGCUUCAUUUGUCCCAAAUUGGAGGGAAAGUAUUUGCUUGCUUAACUAAGUGCUCUGAGAGCAAUUGUGCUCCUAAGGUAAAGGUUAAAAGAACUGAACUAGUGCCAGGGCUGCUAACAUGCUGGCAAUCUGAGCCCUGCUCUGUUAGAGUGACAUUCUGAACCAGGUUAGAUUCAAGCAAGCAUUAAAUGGAAUGAACUUGGCUGGCAUUAACAUGCCAAUAUAAGUUUAAUUUCUAUUUGAGCCUAUAAAGUUCGACAUGAUGCCUAAUAAUUAUAAUGUCUUUAUUAAUAUAUAAACUUCUUGAGCACUACACGUGCCUGCAGAUCAGUCUAGUGUUUCUGCUAAAGAACUGCAGAAGUCUGGAAACCAUUUCUGGCCUCUAUCUUCAGAUAACAAUGUAAGUACUACCCUUCUGACACUUCCCAGGGAGCAGGUUUCCCCCAAACCACACAAAGCCUCCAUUCAUCACUGGAAUGAAAAUACAGAUUCUGAGCAGAUGCCAUCACCGCUGGUUAGAGGACGAAAGAACGCUCACUGUCGUCUGGUUGGGCAAGGAACGUCCCUGAAGAUGGUCUCAAUAUUGAUUGGCAUAUUUGUAAGACCAGUUAUAUGAUAAUUGCUCAAGUUUGAUUGUGUUUUAACAGAUUAUUUCGGAUACGGCAUGCAUCCCCUUCAUCCUGCUGAUGUUGAAAUGAUCGCCAUCAUAUUCCGAGGAACUGCCCCACGACUUGAUUCGUGCUCAGAAUUCACUUGGGCUCAAUUUCCUAAUCAUUCGUUUCCAUCAAGUUUGCAAGGGUCCAUAACUGUCUAUAGUAAUAAGAAAGAUGGCUCAAGGGAUGAACCAGCUCUCAACGCAGCGUUCACUGAAAAAUGUUUUUAUUUUCCUAUGUUAGUCAUAGCAUUUGUUACGGGGAUUUCACCUUUUGACCAGAAACAAAGCGUGUUUUCUUGGCUUUGA
Long non-coding RNA from Cyprinus carpio carpio, 1106 nucleotides. The record is from Ensembl. NCBI's taxonomy places the organism in Eukaryota, Metazoa, Chordata, Actinopteri, Cypriniformes, Cyprinidae.